GGGAGACACUGCAGCCACCGCCAGGACAAGCAGCAUGUAAGGACUCUGAAGAUUCCAUGAACAACUUCAAAACAGCCCAUCAAUAGUGACUGUCUUUAGCUCAUCUGACCAAGCCCUGAGAACCACAAACUACUCAAGACCUGGGCAGCCACCACCACUACAAUGCGCCCCACUGUCUGCCAGAGUGCCUGCUGAGCUCUCCAGCCCCGCCCCAAGUAGUGUCAAAGCAGACCUGCCAGCUGCAGUGGUGGAGCCCAGCCCCCAAAGCCCUCUGCAUACACGGCCUUGUAGCACCACCACCCUGCCAGGGCUGCACCAGCAGCCCAAUCGAGACUCCAGAGCAGGACUUGGGGACAUCAGCGCGCAGGGACAAGUAGAGCAGCUACCCAUUAGCUUGUAAUCUGCAAAUGCCAUCAUAUGGAUAUCUAUAGAAACGAAAGGAAUAGAAGGCAACCAGGCAGUCUCCAUAUACUUCCGAAACAGCGUUAGCAAACAGAAGACACCACCCCACACUCUGCUCCACCUCCAUCAGUCUGUUCCUGUCUCUGCCUCCCAGAUCGGUGAACUGGGGACCCACCAGGCCAAACCUCAGUGGCAGUGGCAUGCUGCCAGCAGGCAGCUCCUAAAGGCGGGAGACAAAACCAGCACUCCUCAGCUGAAUUUUUCAGACCAUCUUCACUAUGGAAUUAAAC
This is a non-coding RNA of Peromyscus maniculatus bairdii (prairie deer mouse), 692 nucleotides long. The record is from RefSeq and is a predicted model, not a curated record. NCBI's taxonomy places the organism in Eukaryota, Metazoa, Chordata, Mammalia, Rodentia, Cricetidae.